UACAGAGGUCUCGAGCGUUGUUCGGAUUCAUUGGGCGUAAAGGGUGCGUAGGCGGUCGCGCAAGUCGGAUGUGAAAUCUUAGGGCUCAACCCUGAAACUGCAUUCGAUACUGCGUGGCUCGAGUACUGGAGAGGAGACUGGAAUUUACGGUGUAGCAGUGAAAUGCGUAGAUAUCGUAAGGAAGACCAGUGGCGAAGGCGAGUCUCUGGACAGUUACUGACGCUGAGGCACGAAGGCCAGGGGAGCAAACGGG
RNAcentral lists this ribosomal RNA (253 nucleotides) under uncultured bacterium. RNAcentral's name for it is "partial 16S ribosomal RNA". It matches the Rfam family "Bacterial small subunit ribosomal RNA", at positions 524 to 776 of the family's 1533-position model. The record is from RNAcentral.